Molecule: long non-coding RNA, 407 nt
Filed under: Androctonus crassicauda
Lineage: Eukaryota; Metazoa; Arthropoda; Arachnida; Scorpiones; Buthidae
Source: RNAcentral
GACGAAAAGUCUUUCAAUCCAAAUAUGAUCGAUAGGGAUAAUUUAAAAAAAUGAAGUUUCUUAUUUCUAAAAUAUAUAAAUAUUUAAACGAUCAAACUAAAUUUUUUAAAUUUCCAUUCUAAUUCAUCAGGAUUACAAGACAGAAGGACGUAGCGCAAUAUUCCGUCAAAUUGAAACACCUGUGCGAUCGUUAAAACUCUGCAUGUUUUUAUUUAAUUAUAAAGGAAAAAAUAUAUAUAGUAUAAUUAUUAUAGAAGUAAGAGGAUGUCCAAUAACCUCGACAACUUUGCGUUCGCCAAGCACCGCUCUCCCUCCUUCAACAAGCACGACAAUUUCGAGUUCGACAAGCACCACUCUCCCUCCUUCAACAAUUCCUCCAUGCAGUGAUAUUAUAAAUACAAUACCUG